This is a long non-coding RNA of Branchiostoma floridae (Florida lancelet), 3067 nucleotides long. RefSeq lists it as uncharacterized. The record is from RefSeq and is a predicted model, not a curated record. The transcript has 2 exons. NCBI's taxonomy places the organism in Eukaryota, Metazoa, Chordata, Leptocardii, Amphioxiformes, Branchiostomatidae.
AUAAUAGAAGUUUAUUUGCAAGUUCAUGCCUGAGGGCUAAUUGCAAGUACAUGGUAUAAACAUAGGAUAUAUGUAUAUACAAGUGACAAUGAACAGAUAAACAAUACUCUACUCUAAUUAAUACUAGUGUUGACUUCUUUUUUGGAAACAGGGAGACGAAAAGCCCUUUUCUACAGUUUCUGGGUUCUGUGAUUUCAAGAGAUUGAAUAAUCAACAACUACUGUCAAUUAUCCAUUUAGUGUGAAUGACCUUUGUUGUCUGCUGUGUUCCACUUUGCAUACAAAAAGCACAACAGUUAGAAAUCUUUCUGUGCAAUCUUUUUGUGUAUUCUAACAAUUACCAUGUUAAAAAGAUGAAGGUUUGGCUCUUAGAUUCAGGCUUUUGUUUCUAUUUCAAUCGUCAGGCUUUCCUUUUGUCUGCCUGAGCCAAACACCAUACACUUUUAAGGGUUAAAAAGAAUACUUGACAAGAUAGAAUUAGAAAGCCACAUAGAACACAUUAAAAAAUAAUUCAAAACAGGUUCAAGCUUAAACACAUAACACUUAAAAAAUUAAUUCAAAAGUUUGAGCCUAAGCUAUGUAAGGACUAAAGGAGAGUUAUAAGCAUCAUCAGAUGCUAAUCUAAAAACGGUUUUGUUGGUUUUGGUAAGCCCGGGAUUGAUUUGUGAGUAUAAUUCUCCAACCCAUGGCCAGGUUCUAGCUAAUACUACUAGUAGCUUGUUCUAACCUGUCAGAGGUGGACCCCUAGUUCUGCCUCGGUAUUAGAUCAAUAGAAAGAAAGUUUAUUUGCAAGUUCAUGCCUGUAGGCUAAUUGCAAGUACAUGGUAUAAACAAGAUAGGGAAUACGCAUAUGAAACAACCAGAGGGGCGAGGUGUUGUCAUGGUCAGUUUGGCAGCGCUUGAACCCCACUGUUACACAGUAACAAUGAACUGUGAUAAAUAUUAAUUUCAUUCAAAGAGACAACUCAAAUACUAUACAUGUAUCUAGAUAGGUUGGGUAACUUCUUUUUUGGAGGCAAAGAAAGACAAAGAGUCCCGCUUUUUCUAUAAUUUGUGCUCAGAGCUGUUGGUGUGCACAUGGUCAGUUUGGCAGCGCUUGAACCCCACUAAUAUUCAGAUUUGCGAAUAAUUGUCAUCAUGUCAACACAAAAGCAGCUUGAAUUUGUCUUACCAAGGAGGUUAAAGAAUCACUCUUUCUUUAACCUCCUUGGUCUUACAUCCGGGUACAUGGGGUCAUAGUUGGCAGCGUCAUGUGUGAAAGUGGAAGUUUUUUACUUUCAAUGUAUGGCUUCCAUGAACUUUACCCACAAAACUGUCUGGAUUUCACCUUUGUGAUAGUGAAACAAAAUUGAAUCAUGAUAUAAGUAUUAAACCGUUGUAGAUUCUAUUCUGACUGAUGAUCUGUUCUCAAAUCUUGAACUUUUUCUUUAAAUUGCACUUCAUAUUUCAAUCCUGGAUUACUGUUGAAAUACUUGAUAUGCUUUUGUUUACACUAUACUUCAAACUAUAGCCUUUGGUUCAAGGGUGGGAACAUUAGCUCCAUUUAUGAGAUAUUCACCAUUUGAGAAUUGAAGUUGAGACUCAAAGGAUUACACUGCUGUCUGUGACUCCACGGGUGAGCCUUGCGUCAUCCAAGUCUGGCUGCAAAAAUGCCUGUUUGUACUACCAGAAAGUAUGCAAAUAGCUAUGCCCACGAAUAACAAUUGGGAGCCAAGAGUCAUAAAAGACAAUGGUUCUUUUACCAGGUGUCAUUGUUGGUCAGGCGUAUUCAGUAUUCAAAUUCCUGUUGCACACUUGACAAAACACCUUGACAGAACUAGGAAAAAAACUGGGAUACAAGAAAAAAAAAAAGUAGUGUUUUCUCUGUGAAAAAACAAACAAACUAAAUACCUGAUGGAUAUUUUUCUGGCUCACACUGUCACAGUUUUAUUCAUCAUCAGGUACCUUUUCAUUAGCAAAAAAAUAAUUGUCAAAGCGCGCAAAGCCUGGAUGCACAGCCUCAAAUGUCUAACCAAGGAGGUUGAAAAAAGGAAACCUCCUUGGUCUAACUCGUUCAUUAGUUUCACCUGAUAGCCUUCUGAGAAUAUCCGAUUCCUGUGGUAAACCCAUUCUGUUAUAUGUUUGUGAAAUUUGGGGUUCUGAGAAAUUAUGAUACAUCUCUGAUCGAAAUUACACACAACCAAUUCUGCAAAAACAUUUAGGCAUUCAUCCAAGUUGGAGUCUCUAGAAAUAGUAGUAAUUUAGCAUGUAGGUCCGAAUUAGGCAGAUUUUCCACUAGACAUAGAUAUUUCCGUUCGACUUGUAAAAUAUUGGCUAAUAAAAAGUAUGUAAUGUUUCACACAAAUCGAUUUUACUAAGCAUCCAUUUACAAGUAAACGCACUCUUGGAACAGCACAACUCUCUUGUAAAUGGCUGGAGAAGUUCAUUGUUGCAGCAUGUUAAAGAAAUACUUGAUUAUAGUGGAUAUUUUUAUCUCUGGUACUCAGACAACUCACUCUGUGACCCUGUAUAUGUAUGUUAUCUGAUAAGGAACAGAAUUACAGAUAUGUAUAUCCAGACGUUUCUACAUAAUAUAAGUAUAGAUAUAGAUUCCCCACACCCACAGACGAACAGAAAGCCACUUUUCUCUUGAAAUCGCAGAACCCACAAAUUGUAGAAAAUGUGGGGCUUUCCGUCUCCCUCUGCUUCCAAAAAAGAAGUCAAACCCAACCAGUUUAGAAAUAGCCAACACUAGUAUUAUAGUAGAAUAUUGUUUAUAACUGUUUAUUGUCACUUCUAUAUCUCCUAUAUUUACACCAUGCACUUGCAAUUAGCCCUCAAGCAUGAACUUGCAAAUAAACUUCUCUAUUCAUCAACCCAGAUUAGACAUAGGCUGAGUUCCUCACAAUUCAGCCCCCUGGUUGCAAAGAGAGAGUAGUUGGCCCACCAAAUAAAUAAUAAUAAACUGGCACCAGCCACCCUGCUGGGAGGCCAGUGGCAAUUUCGUUAUCUAAGAAGGUUACAAGGACAAUCCCUAAGUCUUGUGUGAUUAAAACAAAAUAAUAAAUAUCGGACCCGGUGUAGUUCCU